UGGGCAACCUGCCCUCAGCUCUGGGAUAACUCCGGGAAACCGGUGCUAAUACUGGAUAUGACUCGAGCAGGCAUCUGUUUCGGGUGGAAAGAUUUAUUGGUGGAGGAUGGACUCGCGGCCUAUCAGCUUGUUGGUGAGGUAAUGGCUCACCAAGGCGACGACGGGUAGCCGGCCUGAGAGGGCGAUCGGCCACACGUGGGACUGAGACACGGUCCAGACUCCGUAGGAG
RNAcentral lists this ribosomal RNA (229 nucleotides) under uncultured bacterium. RNAcentral describes it as "partial 16S ribosomal RNA". It matches the Rfam family "Bacterial small subunit ribosomal RNA", at positions 118 to 347 of the family's 1533-position model. The record is from RNAcentral.